Archocentrus centrarchus (flier cichlid) is the source of this 444-nucleotide long non-coding RNA. RefSeq lists it as uncharacterized. The record is from RefSeq and is a predicted model, not a curated record. Lineage: Eukaryota; Metazoa; Chordata; Actinopteri; Cichliformes; Cichlidae. The transcript has 2 exons.
CCCAAAACGGGCGAUGUGCAACCUCAACCCCGGUUACACAGCCCGACAGUAGAUAAUACAUUUCACACAGACGCUAAAAGUGGCGGUUUUAAUUCACAUCUGUCGAUUAUCAUUAUAAUUUAGCGUUUAUUCAAACAGCGGCACGGAUCCGUCGAUGAUGCUGGCACUGUCCACUCCUUCAUCACGCACAACAAAAACACAGCAGCGGCGGAUUGAGAUGGACUGACAUCUUUCUCUGCAGGGGAUGUUUGGGGUCAUUGUCAUGGUGGAAGAUCCAUCCACGACCCAUCGUCAUUAUUCUGGGGGAGAGAAGGAGGUUCUCAUCCAAGAUUUGACAGUACACGGCCCCAUUCGUUGGCCCCUCAAUGCGGUGAAGUCAUCCCAGACCCUUAAAAACAAAACUGUUGCAAAUGAAUAAAAAAAAAAAAAAUGUUUGUAAUGAAA